RNAcentral lists this ribosomal RNA (233 nucleotides) under uncultured bacterium. RNAcentral's name for it is "partial 16S ribosomal RNA". It matches the Rfam family "Bacterial small subunit ribosomal RNA", at positions 118 to 347 of the family's 1533-position model. The record is from RNAcentral.
UGAGUAACCUGCCCUUAACUCUGGGAUAAGCCUGGGAAACUGGGUCUAAUACCGGAUAUGACUCCUCAUCGCAUGGUGGGGGGUGGAAAGCUUUAUUGUGGUUUAGGAUGGACUCGCGGCCUAUCAGCUUGUUGGUGAGGUAAUGGCUCACCAAGGCGACGACGGGUAGCCGGCCUGAGAGGGUGACCGGCCACACUGGGACUGAGACACGGCCCAGACUCCUACGGGAGCAG